Long non-coding RNA from Etheostoma spectabile (orangethroat darter), 88 nucleotides. RefSeq lists it as uncharacterized. Lineage: Eukaryota; Metazoa; Chordata; Actinopteri; Perciformes; Percidae. The record is from RefSeq and is a predicted model, not a curated record. The transcript is spliced from 3 exons.
AUUUCAGAAACUAAUGCUUUGUUCCAGACACAAUUUUUAGCCCUUAAGUUACGACUUCAAGUCACGACUCACGACUUCGUAGCGUUCC